GAACAUCAUAAUAUGGUCGGAGGAGUCAUUUGGUGUGUUUUGAGAGAAAUCCAAUCUCUAGAACGAUAGAACACACCAACCACUACAUUUCAGAACGAACUUCAUACGAACCUUAAUUGUCCAAUUUCAUGGACAAAUCGAUAUCGGAUUGAGUCCAAAACUUGGGGAACAUCAAAAUCUAGUGGGAGGAGUCUUUUGGUGGG
Molecule: long non-coding RNA, 203 nt
Filed under: Prunus persica (peach)
Lineage: Eukaryota; Viridiplantae; Streptophyta; Magnoliopsida; Rosales; Rosaceae
Description: long non-coding RNA (PPER_LNC004649)
Source: RNAcentral